UACGGGGGGGGGCAAGCGUUGUUCGGAAUUACUGGGCGUAAAGGGCUCGUAGGUGGCCAACUAAGUCAGACGUGAAAUCCCUCGGCUUAACCGGGGAACUGCGUCUGAUACUGGACGGCUUGAGUUUGGGAGAGGGACGCGGAAUUCCAGGUGUAGCGGUGAAAUGCACAGAUAUCAGGAGGAACACCGAUGGCGAAGGCAGGUCUCUGGGCCGAUACUGACGCUGAGGAGCGAAAGCGUGGGGAGCGAACAGG
Molecule: ribosomal RNA, 254 nt
Filed under: uncultured bacterium
Lineage: Bacteria
Description: partial 16S ribosomal RNA
Rfam family: Bacterial small subunit ribosomal RNA
Source: RNAcentral